UACGAAGGGGGCUAGCGUUGCUCGGAAUCACUGGGCGUAAAGCGCACGUAGGCGGCUUUUUAAGUCAGGGGUGAAAUCCUGGAGCUCAACUCCAGAGCUGCCUUUGAUACUGAGAAGCUUGAGUCCGGGAGAGGUGAGUGGAAUUCCCAGUGUAGAGGUGAAAUUCGUAGAUAUUGGGAAGAACACCAGUGGCGAAGGCGGCUCACUGGCCCGGUACUGACGCUGAGGUGCGAAAGCGUGGGGAGCAAACAGG
This 253-nucleotide ribosomal RNA is filed under the name uncultured bacterium. RNAcentral describes it as "partial 16S ribosomal RNA". It matches the Rfam family "Bacterial small subunit ribosomal RNA", at positions 524 to 776 of the family's 1533-position model. The record is from RNAcentral.